UGGGGAAUAUUGGACAAUGGGCGAAAGCCUGAUCCAGCCAUGCCGCGUGAGUGACGAAGGCCUUAGGGUUGUAAAGCUCUUUUGGCGGGGAAGAUAAUGACGGUACCCGCAGAAUAAGCUCCGGCUAACUUCGUGCCAGCAGCCGCGGUAAUACGAAGGGAGCUAGCGUUGUUCGGAAUCACUGGGCGUAAAGCGCACGUAGGUGGGCAGUUAAGUCAGGGGUGAAAGCCCGAGGCUCAACCUCGGAAUUGCCUCUGAUACUGGCUGUCUAGAGUUCGAGAGAGGUGAGUGGAAUUCCUAGUGUAGAGGUGAAAUUCGUAGAUAUUAGGAAGAACACCGGUGGCGAAGGCGGCUCACUGGCUCGAUACUGACACUGAGGUGCGAAAGCGUGGGGAGCAAACAGGAUUAGAUACCCAAGUAGUCCCUGAGCGGGCUGGCAAGGCGCAU
This 447-nucleotide ribosomal RNA is filed under the name uncultured bacterium. Its description in RNAcentral is "bacterial SSU rRNA". It matches the Rfam family "Bacterial small subunit ribosomal RNA", at positions 355 to 825 of the family's 1533-position model. The record is from RNAcentral.